Molecule: non-coding RNA, 114 nt
Organism: Geobacillus sp. B4113_201601
Lineage: Bacteria; Bacillati; Bacillota; Bacilli; Caryophanales; Anoxybacillaceae
Source: Rfam
GUAAUCUGCUAGGGGAGUCCGAGAGCCGGGCUGAGAAAAGAACGCGGUGAAGUUCUUUGACCCUUUGAACCUGAUCUGGGUCAUGCCAGCGUAGGGAAGCAGGCAGCGGGAACA